This 74-nucleotide transfer RNA is filed under the name Candidatus Moraniibacteriota bacterium. RNAcentral's name for it is "tRNA-Arg". It matches the Rfam family "tRNA". From Rfam's summary of the family: Transfer RNA (tRNA) molecules are approximately 80 nucleotides in length. Lineage: Bacteria; Candidatus Moraniibacteriota. The record is from RNAcentral.
GUCCCGGUAGCUCAGCUGGAUAGAGCAACGGCCUUCUAAGCCGUAGGCCAGAGGUUCGAAUCCUCUCCGGGACG